Molecule: RNA transcript, 5384 nt
Organism: Mus musculus (house mouse)
Lineage: Eukaryota; Metazoa; Chordata; Mammalia; Rodentia; Muridae
Gene: Dennd3
Gene name: DENN domain containing 3
Exons: 24
Source: RefSeq, marked validated
GCUGGCUGGCAACCAGCCCAAGAGAGGCGGGGAGGCUUGGGCAGGGGUGCUCCGCUGGGGUCUGGGUUGUGGGCGCCGGCGCCCUCUGAGUCGCGUCACCCCGGCCCGACAAUCGAGGGCUCGGAGCGCAGUGUGCUAGGCGGGUGGCGGGAAGGUCAUGGCGGAGCCCGCGGCGCGACACCUGUCGCUGCCCUCGGGGCUGCUGGAGUUGUGCGCGCUGCUGGGCGCCUCUCAAGACAGCCUCCGCGGCCUGGAGCAGAUUGCCCAGAAACGAGGAGUGAAGAGCGCCUCUUCCCUUGUCCCCGAAGUUCUGUCUGUUUUCGUGCCUCCUUUCACCACAAAAGAGGAUGGCCAGGUACCGGGGGCCAGCUGUGCUCUUGGCAAAGGCAGGAGGCGUUCCUUCCGGAAGAAGCGAGAGAAGCCCAGGAUGGAGCCCUGGAAGAGCCACCCUGGAGACUCCAAGGGGCCCGAUUCUGAAGAUGUCACCAUCCCAGGAGGUGUGGACCUCCUUGCCCUGCCUCAGCUCUGCUUCCCAGGGUGUGUGUGUGUGGCUUCGGAACCCAAAGAGGACUACAUCCAUUUCCUGGUGCUCACGGAUGUCUGUGGAAAUAGAACCUAUGGUGUGGUCGCCCAGUACUAUCGACCCCUGCAUGAUGAAUAUUGUUUCUACAAUGGCAAGAGCCACUGGGAGCCCAGCGUGAUCUCAGCUAGGUGCUUUGUGCCUUUUGCAGUGUGUGUGGUGUCCCGAUUCCCCUACUAUAACUCCCUCAAGGACUGCCUCUCCUGUUUAUUGACUCAUCUGAAGCUCUGUAAAGAUUUUGAAGUUGACAAUCACAUAAAGGAUUUCGCUGCACGACUGUCCUUAAUACCUAGUCCACCGCCUGGGCCGCUCCACUUGAUAUUUAACAUGAAGCCGCUGCAGGUCGUCUUUCCCUCUCGAGCGGACCCCGAGAGCCCCAUCGUCGACUUGGACCUUCACCUGCCCCUGCUGUGCUUCCGGCCUGAGAAAGUGUUGCAGAUCCUGACCUGUAUCUUGACGGAACAGCGCAUCGUGUUCUUCUCCUCAGACUGGGCCCUGCUGACGCUCAUGGCCGAGUGCUUUGUGGCCUACCUCCACCCGCUGCAGUGGCAGCACACGUUUGUGCCCAUCCUGUCGGGUCAGAUGCUGGACUUCGUCAUGGCUCCCACGUCUUUCCUCAUGGGCUGUCAUCUCGACCACUUUGAAGAAGUCAGAAAGGAAGCUGAUGGUUUGGUCCUGAUUGACAUUGACCACGGGAGUGUCACCUGCUCCAAGUCUUCUGACGACAACAUAGACAUUCCUGAUGUCCCCCUUCUGCUGGCACAGACCUUCAUUCAGAGAGUCCAGAGUCUCCAGCUGCACCCGGAUUUGCACCUUGCCCACCUGAGUGCCAGCACAGACUUGAACGAGGGCCGAGCCCGCCGCCGAGCCUGGCAGCAGACUCUCAACUGCAAGAUUCAGCACAUCACUCUACAGCUGCUCGUUGGCAUCUUCAGGGAAGUGAAGAAUCACUUGAAUUAUGAACACCGCGUCUUCAACAGCGAGGAGUUUCUCAAGACAAGAGCGGCAGGGGACCAGCAGUUUUAUAAGCAGGUUUUGGACACCUACAUGUUCCACUCCUUUCUGAAGGCGCGGCUCAACGGCAGGAUGGACGCCUUUGCUCGGAUGGACCUCGACACUCAGUCUGAGGAGGACAGGAUAGACAGGAUGCUGAUAAGUCCAAGGAGACCUACUGUGGAGAAGAUGGCCUCCAGGAAGGCCUCACCCCUGCACAUCACCCACAGACGCAUGGUGGUCAGCAUGCCCAACCUGCAGGACAUCUCCCUGCCCGAGCUGCCUCCCAGGAACUCAUCGCUUCGGAUAAUGGACACCUCAAACUGCAGAAGCAGCAGUCCAGUUCUCAAAGUGACCCCUAAGUCAACAUAUAUGUUCAAGAUCCCUGAUAUCCACUUCCCACUGGAGAGCCAGUGUGUUCAGGCAUACUAUACAGACUUCGUCACUCUCCUGAGCAAGGCCAUGGCGCUGUUGGGUCCUGGCGACUCUCUGCUCCUAGCCAGGUACUUCUACCUGCGUGGUCUUCUCCAUCUGAUGCAGGGACAACUGCUGAGUGCCCUCUUGGAUUUCCAGAACCUGUAUAAGACCGACAUAGGGAUCUUCCCGGCUGAUCUGGUCAAGAGAACGGUGGAAUCCAUGUCGGCCUCUGAGCGGGCCCAGGCCGAGCGGACGCCUGAGCUCAGGCGGCUCAUCACAGAGGUCUUUGAUAAGCACGGCGAGGCCCCCAAGGCAGAUGACGCCGUGAAGAACUUCGAACUGCCCAAGAAGCACAUGCAACUCAAUGACUUUGUGAAGCGAGUCCAGGAGUCGGGGAUCGUGAAGGACGCCGUCAUUAUCCACCGUCUGUUUGAUGCACUGACCUUCGGACACGAGAAGCAGAUUGACCCGGAGACCUUCCGAGACUUUUACACCUGCUGGAAGGAGACUGAGGCAGAGGCACAGGAGGUCAGCCUGCCCGCACUGCUCAUGGAGCACCUGGAUAAGAACGAGUGCGUCUACAAGCUGUCGAGCUCUGUGAAGACCAACCGUGGAGUGGGCAAGAUCGCCAUGACCCAGAAGCGCCUGUUCUUGCUCACCGAGGGGCGGCCCGGCUAUGUGGAGAUUGCCACCUUCAGGAACAUAGAGGAAGUCAAAAAUAGCACCGUGGCAUUUCUCCUCCUGAGGAUACCCACCUUAAAGAUCAAGACGGUGGCCAAGAAGGAAGUCUUCGAGGCCAACCUCAAGUCGGAGUGUGACCUCUGGCACCUCAUGGUGAAGGAGAUGUGGGCCGGAAAGCAGCUGGCAGAUGACCACAAGGACCCACAGUACGUCCAGCAGGCACUGACCAAUGUCCUGCUCAUGGAUGCCGUGGUUGGCACGCUGCAGUCACCUAGUGCCAUUCAUGCUGCCUCCAAGCUGGCCUACUUUGACAACAUGAAGAAGAAGUCACCCAUGGCGGUCCCAAAGACAACCUCGGAGACCCUAAAACACAAGAUUAACCCUUCAGCCGGAGAGACCGCUCCCCAAGCCAUUGAAGUCCUGCUGUAUACUCCAGGGCGCCUGGAUCCUGCAGAGAAGGUGGAAGAUGCCCACCCCAAGCUGUGGUGUGCCCUGAACGAAGGCAAAGUGGUCGUGUUUGAUGCCUCCUCUUGGACCGUCCACCAGCAUUGCUUUAAAGUGGGUUCCUCGAAAGUGAACUGUAUGGUGAUGGCGGAGCACAACCAGGUGUGGGUGGGCUCCGAGGACUCUGUCAUCUACAUCAUCAAUGUCCACAGCAUGUCCUGCAACAAACAGCUCACGGAUCACCGUUCUCCAGUCACUGGCUUGGCCGUGCACAAUGGAAAGAAGCCCAGUGAGAUCUACUCCUGUAGUCUGGAUGGGACGGUCAUCGCGUGGAAUGUCAGCACACUGCGAGUGAUCAGCCGGUUCCAGCUGUCAUACGGUGACCUCCUGUCCAUCAGCCUGCACAACGACCGCAUAUGGUGUUCUUCCCUUCCCGCUUCCCUUUCGCAUGGGUGCUCUUAAGGGUGGUACUGCGUGGUUUCUCAUCGCUGGGCAGUCAGCAGCCUUCAGAGAAAUUAAGAGAACUUAUUUUGCCAGGAUGCCUAGUUCCUGGUACAGUCCACAAGAUCUUGGUGGUGACCCCGCAGGGCUUUGUUCGUCAAGAGCUGAAGCAUCCGAAAGAUGCCUCCUUCCUGGCCUUCCAACUUCUGCCUGAGGAGCAGCAGCUGUGGGCGGCCUCUACGGGGGUCAGUGAGCUGUAUAUGUGGAGCCUGAAGGACCUGGACCAGCCUCCUCAGAAGACUUACUUACAAGACUGCUCCGAGGUCACCUGUAUGAUCCGGGUGAAGAGGCAGAUCUGGGUGGGCGGCAGGGGGCUGUCUCAGGGAAAAACCAGAGGGAAGAUCUACGUGAUGGACGUGGAGAAGGUGACGGUGGAAAAGGAGCUGGUGGCACACUUGGACACCGUGAGGACCCUGUGUUCUGCUGAGGACCGCUACGUACUGAGCGGAGCGGGCCAGGAGGAGGGAAAGAUCGCCAUCUGGAAGGUGGAGUGAGAGCUCCAUACUGAACCAAUGCUGUCCUGUGAGGGCCCGCCUCCCGACCCUCCAACCCUCCACUGUGUCAGUGGCCAGCUAGGUGGGGCCUGUCUGCUCUGGCGGCCUUCACCUCCUUGGGCGAGCAGCUACAGCUUACUGCUGAUAACCUCCACUGUAAAGUUACCUCAUAUUACCUAGAAACUUCCAGAAUCCAUAACUAGAAGUCAGCACCUGAGCUGCCAACUCAGCUGAAUCACAUGUGACUUGUGGUCCUCUAGGCUGGCCUCUCCUCUUCGUGUUUACUCUUAAACACUUGGGCUCAUUGCCAUUGGUGUAGGGCAAAGGCUAGUGUGUCACAGUCAGCCACAGAAACAGAGCCUUUCGGGUUUCCACUAACUUCCUGAUUCCAGAGAGUCUUCUGAGCAUUCGAAGGUAAUCACCGACCGAACUGGCUUGCACUGGGCAGGUGAUUCCUCCUUCAGGGAAAGUGACCAAGGCCUGGCCCAGGAAGGGGACAGUACUGGCCAGAUUUGUCUGUGUAGAAAUUGGGCAGCUGAACGGCUCUGUCUUAGCAUUAAAGGUUUAAUGAAGACACCGACUACUACAGGCAGGAAGCACAUCUCACAAGCACAAGUGAGUGACUGUGUCACUGGCUUGUGGCAUAGCUGCACUUUGCGUGUCUCCUGCACGUGUGGACACAACGCCUCUAUUGAACUGUACAUAGCUAUCUGCACGGAGGCUUGUGAAUGUGUUUGCCACACUGGCCCAAUUUCAUUCUGCAAGUGUUCUGCAAGGUGUGUUUGUAUGGAUGCUGGACACGCAGAGGAAAUGGCCUGUAUCCUGUGUAUCCUCCUGUGAGUUCUGCAUGGAGCCCUUGGGAUCCCCUGCCUUGGGUCUUCAAGAUUCCAUGUCCGCCAUUGGAGAGGCGGUCACUAAGAGGUUACCAGUGGUCCACGCCCGUCUCUGAGAUCAACCAGGGUCCAGAGGUACUUGAGCCCAUGCCUGUGAAGACCCAGGCCUGAAGGGUCCAUGUCACUGACUGCUGGCUCACUUGAGGUGUGGCUCCCUUGAACACAGUGCAGAGGAUCUCAGAGCCACACCUCUCCCUAGAGUCUGUAUUCCCUAAGAGGUGUCCCAUAUGUCCAGAGGGACAAUGUGGCCAGCGGCCAAGGGCACAGGUUCACACUGUCUUUGUAAAAGUCGACCAUAAAUGCAUUCUAAGUUAUUUAAUGCCAGUCCAUGUAUGACCAGGUGUUUACAACUUGUGAUAAUAAACCCUUUUUGUUAAUAAA